This 283-nucleotide ribosomal RNA is filed under the name Staphylococcus pseudintermedius. Its description in RNAcentral is "partial 23S ribosomal RNA". It matches the Rfam family "Bacterial large subunit ribosomal RNA", at positions 235 to 513 of the family's 2925-position model. Lineage: Bacteria; Bacillati; Bacillota; Bacilli; Caryophanales; Staphylococcaceae. The record is from RNAcentral.
UUCCCUGAGUAGCGGCGAGCGAAACGGGAAGAGCCCAAACCAAUAAGCUUGCUUAUUGGGGUUGUAGGACACUCUGUACGGAGUUACAAAAGAAUUUGUUAGACGAAUAACCUGGAAAGGUUAAUCAGAGAAGGUAAUAAUCCUGUAGUCGAAAGCGAAUUCUCUCUUGAGUGGAUCCUGAGUACGACGGAGCACGUGAAAUUCCGUCGGAAUCUGGGAGGACCAUCUCCUAAGGCUAAAUACUCUCUAGUGACCGAUAGUGAACCAGUACCGUGAGGGAAAG